GAUAAACGCUGGCGGCGUGCAUGAGACAUGCAAGUCGAACGAAGGAUCGGGCUUGCUCGAUCCUUAGUGGCGGACGGCUGAGUAACGCGUAGGUGACCUACCCCGAAGUGGGGAAUAACUGCCCGAAGGGUGGCUAAUACCGCAUGUGGUCGCACGUUCAUUCGUGCGAGUAAAGCCGCAAGGCGCUUCGGGAGGGGCCUGCGUCCGAUUAGCUCGUUGGUGGGGUAAUGGCUUACCAAGGCGACGAUCGGUAGGUGGUCUGAGAGGACGAUCACCCAGACUGGGACUGAGACACGGCCCAGACUCCUACGGGAGGCAGCAGUCGGGAAUUUUGCUCAAUGGGGGAAACCCUGAAGCAGCAACGCCGCGUGAGGGAUGAAGGCCUUCGGGUUGUAAACCUCUUUUGUCAGGGACGAUGAUGACGGUACCUGGCGAAUAAGCCACGGCUAACUACGUG
This 457-nucleotide ribosomal RNA is filed under the name uncultured bacterium. Its description in RNAcentral is "partial 16S ribosomal RNA". It matches the Rfam family "Bacterial small subunit ribosomal RNA", at positions 28 to 507 of the family's 1533-position model. The record is from RNAcentral.